Long non-coding RNA from Engraulis encrasicolus (European anchovy), 1821 nucleotides. RefSeq lists it as uncharacterized. The transcript has 4 exons. Lineage: Eukaryota; Metazoa; Chordata; Actinopteri; Clupeiformes; Engraulidae. The record is from RefSeq and is a predicted model, not a curated record.
GGGCGCAUUCCUGGGCCUGUACCUGGCAGUGCAGGAUGGUGUCAACUUUCUGGGCAUGGCCACUGGCAGGCUUGUUGUGUGCAGGGGCCGGCGGCUGCUGUACUCAUGUGUGGAGGGCGGAUGCAGGCCUUCAGGAAGGACUGUGGAGCUAUCCCCCUUCUGUUGCUGUCAAGGUCACUAAGAGCCCUGAAAAGUAUUGGUGGAGGAGGAGAAGGCCUUACCUUCAGCUAGUUCCUGAAAGUACUUAAACUAGCCGCCAAACUUGCCAACUAAAGACCAUUCGAUGCCAAAAGCACAGAGUCUUGAGGACUACAUCACCCUAAGCACACUGCUGCUUGGCUGAGCCACUCUGAAGAUUUCAAAACAGUUCACUACAAGUACAACACCUACCCUUCAAAAGACAGCAAGAAAUACAAGUACAAACGUCAGACACUUCUUCUGGGGGUCCUGGAGCCAAUGGGAAGAAAUCUUGCUGUUUUAGAUUUAAUGUGGCUCUGUGACCAAAAUGCAUUACAAGGACAUUUCAAAGCUCGCAACAGUGGUCAGCGUGAAGGCAGACUCCAAAGGCAUUGACCGGAAAGUCCCCCCAAGUGGAUGUGCUCAAGUGAAGAUUCCAAAGCAAACCAAGAAGUGCUGGGACCCACAAGACACCACACUGCCUCGGGAAGUGCAACGCCUCAUCGUCCUCGUCCAAUUAGAGUUACAAGUCAACAGAAACCAGCUCGCAUGAGGGGUGCAAGCUUCAUAUCUCGCGACACGCCAAGAUCGAGUUGGAGAGGUCGCAGCAGGAAUGCCUGGGUACAUCUUUGACUGACAGCCUCCAUGGUCCCUCGCAGCGCAUCUGUGGUGUCCAGCCUGGUAUCAGCAUAGGCAUGGCCAACACGUGCAGCUGGUCAUCUGCAUCCUCUCCAUGCCGGAUGAGAGGAGCAACAGACGCAUGGGCUCCGCUCCCAUGGCCAUCAGCUUCUGUCACCAUGGCACACCUCAUAUGUUCUACACUAGAGCUGGAAUCAACACUGCCAGACCUUGCCCCUGUUAUGUUUAUGAAGAACGUCAUGAACCACUGAGUAAGAAAGAAAUGUGUACUGAGUGGGUCCCAUGAUCGGUGGUGCUAUGGGUGCCAUCAUGUAUGACUUCAUGCUCUUCCCCUGCAUGCAGCUGGUCCACAGAAGUGAAGCCAGCAGGACAUCGAGCUCAAGACCUAGGCCCUAUAAGCCAACCACUCAGCCAGGGGAAGCAGGGGCCAGCCAGCCUUAUUAUAGUAGCCCCCCCUCCGCUUCCAACAACCCAGCGCUCCUCCUCCAACCCCCCACACCCCCUACCCCGUCACCAACAACCAGCAACCCCAACAUUCAAAGACUAACAUCUGCCCUAUCCAAGUUCACCACCAUCACCAUCAUGGACAUAGCUCAGUACACACACACGCAUGCAUACCAGGCUUGUGGAAAAUUCUGAAUUCACAACAUACCAACAUGUAUCAAGUACUAUACACCCAAUACUACAGUGAAUCAAAAAGACUCAAUACACAGCCAUAAUUGUAUGAAAACGCGACUUUGUGUUUUCAAAAUAAUAGAAUUAGUUUGUAAGCGUGAUGUGUAUGUAUGUGUCUGCAUACUUGGCUAUGUCCAUGAUGGUGGUGGUGGGCUUGAAUAGGGCAGAUGUCAGUCUUUGAUUGUUAGGGUUGCUAGUGACGGGGCGGGGAGGAGGAGACAUUGUCUCUUGCUUGUGCUGCAACGUCUUUCACUGGCAUUGUUGGCCACUCACCCUCAGGAAGCUGAAGGAACUGUGCACUGUACUGACACUGGGAACAUUCGUUAGAUC